GGGUCCGUAGCUCAGCCGGUUAGAGCGCCGUCUUGACAUGGCGGAGGUCACAAGUUCAAGUCUUGUCGGACCCACCA
Molecule: transfer RNA, 77 nt
Filed under: Rhodospirillales bacterium
Lineage: Bacteria; Pseudomonadati; Pseudomonadota; Alphaproteobacteria; Rhodospirillales
Description: tRNA-Val
Rfam family: tRNA
About the family: Transfer RNA (tRNA) molecules are approximately 80 nucleotides in length.
Source: RNAcentral